This 1527-nucleotide ribosomal RNA is filed under the name Varanus niloticus (Nile monitor). RNAcentral describes it as "16S rRNA". It matches the Rfam family "Bacterial large subunit ribosomal RNA". Lineage: Eukaryota; Metazoa; Chordata; Lepidosauria; Squamata; Varanidae. The record is from RNAcentral.
CUCACUCCAUCUAGCUCAUCCACCACCACUAACCACCCAAACUUACAAACAAACCAUUACCCCAAAAACCAGUAGCACACCCACCGCAUGCGAUCGAAAAUUAACCCGAAGCUAUAGAGACAGUACCGCAAGGGAAAGAUGAAAUAACACUACAUGUAAAAAAAGCAGAGACUAACCCACGUACCUUUUGCAUCAUGAUUUAGCAAGAAGCACCCGACCAAAACGCCUUACAGCUCGCCUACCCGAAAUCAAGUGAGCUACUUCCAGGCGUUCUAACAGGACUACCUCCCCCCUGUCGCAAAAGAGGGAAAAGACCUGAAAGUAGAGGUGAAAAGCCAAACGAACUUGAAGAUAGCUGGUUGUCUGAUAAACGAAUCUUAGUUCUCCUCUUAGUUUAAACUUAGCAAAUAAAAUAGCACAACCUUCAACUAAAAGUAUAUUCAAUAGUGGUACAUCACUAUCGAAAUAGGGUACAACCUAAAUCAGAGAGACACCAUCCUUUUCCCCCAUCCAGUAGGCCCCAAAACAGCCACCAAAAACAAAAACGUUACAGUACCUAAAACAAAAAUCCCACCAACCACCAAAUUCUCCUGCCAACCAUCAGACCACCCCUAUAUCCAUAUGGAGGAACUAAUGCUAAAACUAGUAACAAGACACCCUCUCUUUGCACACCCAUAAAUCGGCCCAGAACAUCUACCGACAAUUAACAGACAAAUAAACCUGCUCUCACUAACUUCCCAUAUCUUCACCAACUGUUAACCCAACACAGGAGUGCUUCAAAGAAAGAUUAAAAGUUAAAAAAGGAACUCGGCAACCCACUAUUCCGACUGUUUACCAAAAACAUAGCCUUUGGCAAUACACAGUAUCAAAGGUAACGCCUGCCCAGUGAUUUUAUUAAACGGCCGCGGUAUCCUAACCGUGCAAAGGUAGCGCAAUCACUUGUCCCCUAAAUAGUGACUAGUAUGAAUGGCUCCACGAGAAUAGACCUGUCUCUUUUAACUAAUCAAUGAACCUGAUCUUCCAGUACUAAAGCUGGAAUACUAACAUAAGACGAAAAGACCCUGUGGAGCUUAAGUACUAAACUACCACCACUAGCAUAAAUACUUCAGUUGGGGCAACUUCGGAAUCAAACCAAACUUCCGACUACACUCCGGAAACACCGUCACAACAGACCUACAAGUCAAACCAACGAAAUAGAUCCAGUAAAUUACUGAUCAGCGAACCAAGUUACCCCAGGGAUAACAGCGCUAUCUUCUUCUAGAGCCCCAAUCGACAAGAAGGUUUACGACCUCGAUGUUGGAUCAGGACACCCAAAUGGCGCAGCCGCUAUUAAAGGUUCGUUUGUUCAACGAUUAAAGCCCUACGUGAUCUGAGUUCAGACCGGAGUAAUCCAGGUCAGUUUCUAUCUAUGCACCAUUUUCUUCAGUACGAAAGGACCAAGAAAAUAGGACCAAUGCUUACAGUAAGUCCUCCCUCAAAGAAAUCAUAUUAAACCACAGUCCCCCCUCCCACCCCAAAAACAGGGCC